GGGGGGGGGCGGCUGGAGGAACGAGCAGGGCAACGUUGUGUCCUGCCUCGGGUUUCAUUUGCACCGCAAGCCGGUGCCUUUCUGCUGCAAGCAAAGAGCUUCGGAUUCGUACUCAUCCUCUGAAGGCAGCCGGCAGCGUGUGGGACUCCACCAUGGACCACAAGAUCCAGUGGCUCUGGCCACGCUAGGGAACAAAACAAAACACUCCUCACCGGCGCAGCCACUUGUUCAGCUGCAGUUGAAGAUGCCUCGGUGCAGAUUUAAACCCGGCAGAAAUGGAACCGGUGAAAUGGAAGUAGCGGCUGGAGCCUCAUCUGUGCGAAGGAUCCUGCCAGCACAGCUGUACCACUGACAGCAGUGGAAUAUUUUGCUCAAGUUCUCUAGAGGAAUCAAAGCCUGUAUUUUCUGUCUCUGGCUCUCCCUUGUUCUGUUGCUCCUCGCUCAUUAAAAGAAAAGUCAGCCACACAAAGCACAUGGUUGGUCUCUGUGUUUAGGAAAAAAAAAAAAGUUUUGGGGAAAAAACCAACAGCCAAAGCUGUUUUGAAGUCAGAGGCAUGUAAACAGUACCUGGAACUAAGUGGAAUAAUAAUCAUAAUAAUAAUAAUUAGUCCUUUUGUGUCAUAAAUAUCGCUGUCUGCUGUUUCAUUAUGAGACAGCACAACUUCUGAGAAUGUGCCCGAUGAAUAUUUGGGGGAACUCUGCCUCCAGCUGCAGCAGCGUAGGGCAGCACUAAUGCCUCUGGCUCCUCUGGCUUGCUUAUGUAACUGAAAUCACAAAUUAGAGCCCAAAUUACAAAGCAUAAGCAUGUGUACAAUAUUAAGCAUAUAAAUGGUGCCUGAAAUUACUAUCGUUUUCCUUUAGGUCUGGCUUUCAUCUAUUUGUCUUUUUACUUCUGCAGUUCUACUGAUUUCAAUGGGUGCUGGUGCCAUGCAUAGGAUAACCAAGCCUAACCCAAACUUAACUAAGACAGACCAAAAUCACUCUGGUUACAGGUAGGUGUAGUUUAAAUGACUCGUAUACCAGAUCUUGGGUGUAUCCAGCAUUAUGAUGCUAUAGAAAGCAGAACAUAAUGUCCCUGUGGCUGCUUUGCCAGGCAGAGCAGCAGGCUUUGGCACCCCAGCCCAAUCCCCUUCCUUUGUGUUUUCUCUCUUUCUUAGAGACUAUUUUUGCCAUUAACAUGCUGAGCUGCUUUCUGGAGUUUUAAGGUGUUGCGUGCUGAUACAGUGAGCACCUCUUGUAUCUGUUUAAUCCAAUAACAACUCUUGUUUAAUCUCCACGUCUGGGUCACAGGGUUUAAAAAAGACACUGGGCCAAAUCCCCAGCUUGGCUACAACGUGUGGAAAUCUACCAAGAAGACACAAAAGUCAGAAGAGAUUCGCUGUAUUUGCACUGUGUAAAAGAGCUCUCAAGGGGCAGGGAUGCGAGUGCCUCAUUUUGCAGAUGGAUGCAUAUUAACACAAGUGUAUGGCAGAGUCAGAUCACAUUUCUGUCAGGAAAAAACCCCAACUCUUUUCUUUUCCCAUGUCUGGCUGCUAAAAGGAAUAUGAUGUUUCACAGACUCAAGACCAAGGCAGGGCAAGAACAAGGAGAAGGUUUUGCAGGGACUGGAAAGAUUUUACAUGUAAACAUUAAAAUUUAAAAAGCAAAAUUUAUCCAGGCACAAAGUCCAGCAGAAAUCUAGGGGACAAAGUAAACAGUACUGUCUGUAAAGAAGGGUAUAAACAGGAAUGGUGAAAAGAUGGUCUGAAUAAGUCAAUCACAUCAACAACUCUCCAAACACAAUUUUCUAUGCAAAACUAUAUGGGGGCAAUCUUCAUGGUUCCCCUCUAAGGCAAAGGAUCCUGAGCAUGAAAAAGGGAGGCAGAUUUUGUGAGGGAUUUGCACAUCAUGCAGUGACUCUGGAUUGCAGAUUUUAAGCAUUACUAAACCCGGGAAUAGAAUUGUUGCUAUUGCUAUUACAUACCAGGAUAUCUCACUAAUCCACUCAAUCCACUAAGUUGGUGUAGUUUUAGUCUGUGUUUAUUUUAGACGAAAUUAUGGCCCGGACAGUUAAUUUUUCUUAGUUUAUCCAUUUAAUUCAUUUAUAAAUAAGAUAUCAAACAGAAAUCAAAACAUGACCUGUGUUUUUGGUACACUCUCCAUCAUGUGAACCUGCUGGUUUACAAGUCAAACACAAAGACAACUAAAACCCACAGGUCUUCUUGAAAAGUAGCCCCACAGUCUUUAAAUUCUAUGAUCAAUGUGAUUUUAAUGCUACAGGUGGCCUAUUUUACUUGUAUUCGAGACUGCCUAGCCAUUAUGGGAUUGACUCCACUGGUCCUCUUCUUACUUCAAGUUAAUUACAUAUUAAUGUGAAGCAUGUCUGAAAGGCUGGACCUGGCCCUUUCUGGACAGCAGUUGAGUUUAGAAAUGCCUGUUCCUUGACAGGAGCUGAUUCCUAAAGUGAGGGGCAAAUUCAGAGGAGCUAAACAGUCUGGAACCAAAGUGGUCACGCUGGCUUUUGGAAGAAGUGGAGCGUCUCAAGUUAAUUGAUGCUCAGCUACCUGGAAAUAAAAAACUCUCAUAUAGCCCAAGGUUUUCACCAUGAUUUUCAAGAGCUCCUGAGCAACUUGAAGUCCUUGAAAGGAAUCCACUAUAGAAUGACAAAUAUAGGUAUUAUUAAAGAAUAUCUCCAAACUGAAAGCCAGCCAGUUUCAUAAAAAUGAGCUAAAACCCAAUAACAGAUACUCUGUCUUCUGCUGGAUGCUGUAUGAACCGUAUGUUUUGCAUUUUUGAAGUCACUUCUAAAACAAUGUUUUUUUUUCUUCACUAUUGCUAUUGGGAAGAACAGUAAAAGAACUGUGCAUAAAUGAGGUUAAAGUAAUCUAAUUAAAAAAAAAAACCAACCCCAAAACAAAACCCA
This is a long non-coding RNA of Athene cunicularia (burrowing owl), 2902 nucleotides long. RefSeq lists it as uncharacterized. The transcript is spliced from 3 exons. NCBI's taxonomy places the organism in Eukaryota, Metazoa, Chordata, Aves, Strigiformes, Strigidae. The record is from RefSeq and is a predicted model, not a curated record.